GAUGAACGCUGACAGAAUGCUUAACACAUGCAAGUCGAUUCGAUUUACCUUCGGGUAUUGAGGAUGGCGGACGGGUGAGUAACGCGUAAGGAACUUGCCUCUUGGUCUGGGACAACUGUUGGAAACGACAGCUAAUACCGGAUAUUAUGAGAUUCUCGCAUGGGAAACUUAUGAAAGCUAUAUGCGCCAAGAGAGAGCCUUGCGUUCCAUUAGCUAGUUGGUGGGGUAACGGCCCACCAAGGCGACGAUGGAUAGCCGGCCUGAGAGGGUGAACGGCCACAAGGGGACUGAGACACGGCCCUUACUCCUACGGGAGGCAGCAGUGGGGAAUAUUGGACAAUGGGCCACAAGCCUGAUCCAGCAAUUCUGUGUGCACGAUGAAGGUCUUCGGAUUGUAAAGUGCUUUCAGUUGGGAAGAAGAAAGUGACGGUACCAACAGAAGAAGCGACGGCUAAAUACGUGCCAGCAGCCGCGGUAAUACGUAUGUCGCAAGCGUUAUCCGGAUUUAUUGGGCGUAAAGCGCGUCUAGGCGGAAAAAUAAGUCUGAUGUUAAAAUGCGGGGCUCAACUCCGUAUUGCGUUGGAAACUGUUUUUCUAGAGUACUGGAGAGGUGGGCGGAACUACAAGUGUAGAGGUGAAAUUCGUAGAUAUUUGUAGGAAUGCCGAUGGAGAAGUCAGCUCACUGGACAGAUACUGACGCUAAAGCGCGAAAGCGUGGGGAGCAAACAGGAUUAGAUACCCUGGUAGUCCNCGCCGUAAACGAUGAUCACU
This 771-nucleotide ribosomal RNA is filed under the name uncultured prokaryote. Its description in RNAcentral is "bacterial SSU rRNA". It matches the Rfam family "Bacterial small subunit ribosomal RNA", at positions 28 to 817 of the family's 1533-position model. The record is from RNAcentral.